UACAGAGGUCUCAAGCGUUGUUCGGAAUUAUUGGGCGUAAAGGGCGCGUAGGCGGUGCGGUAAGUCUGUAGUGAAAUCUCUGGGCUCAACUCAGAGUCUGCUGCAGAAACUGCCGUGCUUGAGUGUGGGGAGAGGUGAGUGGAAUUCCCGGUGUAGCGGUGAAAUGCGUAGAUAUCGGGGAGGAACACCUGUGGCGAAAAGCGGCUCACUGGACCACAACUGACGCUGAGGCGCGAAAGCUAGGGGGAGCAAACAGG
RNAcentral lists this ribosomal RNA (257 nucleotides) under uncultured bacterium. RNAcentral describes it as "partial 16S ribosomal RNA". It matches the Rfam family "Bacterial small subunit ribosomal RNA", at positions 524 to 776 of the family's 1533-position model. The record is from RNAcentral.